RNAcentral lists this small nuclear RNA (23 nucleotides) under Arabidopsis thaliana (thale cress). RNAcentral describes it as "snRNA_17252". The record is from RNAcentral. Lineage: Eukaryota; Viridiplantae; Streptophyta; Magnoliopsida; Brassicales; Brassicaceae.
CCGCACGUCUCCAUUCGGAGUCU